CCAGACGCAAGAGGAAGGAGGAUGAGGGCCGGUCCCGACCUGCUUGUUAGCCUCAUCAAAAAAGACGCAGUUGACCGGGGUUGCCUUCUCGAAGUGCACCGGCCGUUCGCACAGCUCCAGGCUUCCUCAAGACACGGCAGCUGGUUUCCCUCAGAGCAAGGGAUCCAAGAGAGAGCAAGUGUGGCCCAGAGACACCAAAAGGUUGAACACCCCUGCGUCGAGUCGUUGCUAAAAACAUUGAGUAAACAAACUGGGUUGAUGUUGAAGUCCUGAGCCUCCUGAAUCUGGUAUGACAGUGACUGGCUGGUAGGUGGCUCCGCAGCUAAUCUUCUCUCAAGUUAGCGUAAAUCCCAAUCCUACCUGUUAUAUUUCCCUAAUUAAUGGUUUUUUAGAAAUUCACAUAAGCUCAAGUGAUUACAUAAUUUUAAUAAUUCUAUAUUUAUGACAUACUCACUGUCUUAUCAUAUGCCUUCUCUUCCCUUUUAAAAGUGGUAUUGGAGUGGCCCCCUAUGGAUUUCUAAUAGCUUCCCACUCUCCAUCCUUUCUCAGCAGUCAUAGGCAAUGUUCCCACAACUGCAUCUGAAAAUUUCCCAAAUAUCUUAGAUAUUUUUCAACCAAGCAAAAUUCAGUGGAAGCAGCAGAAUGCCCAUCCACCAAACUUUGUAUUUAUCUUGGGCUAUGUAUUAGUCUGCUUGGCCUACUACUAUAACAGAAUACCCAGAUUGGGUGGCUUCAAACACAGAAAUUAAUUUCCUUAUAGUUCUGGAGGAUAGAAGUCCAAGAUUAAAGCAACAGCAGGAGUGGUAUCUGGUGAAGCCUCUCUUGUUGGGGUGCACAUGGCAGGUACCCUCACAUGACCUUUCCUUUGUGCUUACAUAGAGAGAUCUCUGGUGUCUCUCUCCUUAUAAGGACACUAGUCCUAUUGAAUUAAGGCUCCACCCUUAAUAAUUUCUCUUACCCUUUAUUACCUCCUUAAAAGCCUACUUCUAAAAACACUUAUCAUUUUAGAGGUUAAGGCUUCAAUAUAUGAAUUAGCAAGAGACACAUUUGGGGGAACAGGGUUCAAUGUUUGUUUCACCAUUUUUUAAAUACAACUUCCAAAAGAUGAAAUAGAAGAUGUGUAGUUGGUUUUGCUGCUUAAUAACAAUAUAUUAACACUUCAAGCAAUGGAUUUAUGUUUCUACUUCUUGCUUCAAAUUUAACUUCUCAAAUCCUUGACAUUUUCUACGUUUUUUAUAAAUCUUAGCUCUUCUUGCGCUUUACCGAGAUAUUGUUCUUAUAGUAUCAAGUAUUCUAAUUGAUUAUGUCCCAGAAGGCACAGAUUGAAAAGUAUUCACAGAGCUAUAUAAAUAGUAGCUCACUCACUAAUUCUGUAAUGAAUACCCCAUCUUCCCACUUCAUCUGCUACUUUAUCUUUAACUAUAUUUGAUCUUAACUCUGAAAAAGCUAGCUAUGUUUGGGAGAAAGUUGGAAAGCCUCAGGCAGAAAAAAUAAUGCUUUCCCAAAUGUAACCUUUUAAUAUUUUUAAAUUGGAAAUCAAAGAAUAAAAACAAGAAGCUUGCAAAAGAAGAAACUGGUAUUUCCAAGUAGAAAAUAUACUUUGAAAACAUAAAUCAUUCUUUAAUUUUUAUGAAAUCACUUUAAAAUUCAAAUAGAAAAAUACAUAUCUUCAAAAAAUAUGAUGAGGCUUGAAAAUCCAAUCAGAUGAGCUUUUCCCACCCAAUGUCUUAAGUGCUAGAAAACUACUCAGAAUUCUAAAAGGUACAGACAGCAGUCUCUUCUGAGGCCCAGAGCCUAAAUGAACCACAAAAGAUGGACUGCCUAUAACAACCUCAGGGCCUCUAUCUGCUUCACCUUCCUUGGGGAGGAGAGCAGGGAUCUACCAUGAUCAAUAUUGCACCAUCAGCUGCCUCACAUCAUCCUGUUUUC
This is a long non-coding RNA of Phyllostomus hastatus (greater spear-nosed bat), 1929 nucleotides long. RefSeq lists it as uncharacterized. Lineage: Eukaryota; Metazoa; Chordata; Mammalia; Chiroptera; Phyllostomidae. The transcript has 3 exons. The record is from RefSeq and is a predicted model, not a curated record.